CUGAAUCAGAGUGAUGAAGCAGGAGAGUGGUGUUGCAGAUAGCAGCGAUCUCAGCAACAGUUCACAAGGUAAACAUCUGAAGUCAAGCAAUCUCACAUACAGUUCGUUCUGGGACACAUCAGAGGGUGAGCAAUCUCACAAACAGGUCAUCAGGUAAACAUCUGAUCUACAGUUGAACACCAGAAUAGCUUAAGGCCCCGUUUACACUAGUGCGUUUUAGUUUUAAAACGGCGUUCCAAUCCGGGCCUGCAUUCAUAGGAGAAGAAGAGUGAAAGGAGGAGAGAAGAUGAGGUAAACCAUCCAUCUUCAAUACCGGCCGAUGAGUGAGUGAAUGAGGUGGGUAUUUAAGAUGACUGGCAAUUGUGAGUGCAGGUGCAGGUAAUUAGUAUGCUGGUGAUUGUUCAUGGAUGUGGUGGGAGGUGGUUGAUGAGGGAGAGUGAUGAUUGGAGCUGCAGGAACAAGGCGAAGGUGUGACACAU
Molecule: non-coding RNA, 479 nt
Organism: Danio rerio (zebrafish)
Lineage: Eukaryota; Metazoa; Chordata; Actinopteri; Cypriniformes; Danionidae
Source: Ensembl